ACGACCUUACUUGUACAGGAUCUGUUCUAUAGGAUCGUACCGCUGCAUCCUUGACUAAUAAGGAGGCAAGCACUUAAGCCUGGUUGACGACUCAUGACCUGUGGGCCAGAGCGUGAUUAACGGCCAGGAUUGGAGCUUGUGAUGCUCCAUCUGCGGCUGUAGAGGAUCGUUCUUGGUCAGGCCUGCCUGGCUGGGGUGGCCCUCAGGUUGUCUGACAGGCU
Molecule: small nucleolar RNA, 221 nt
Organism: Dichanthelium oligosanthes
Lineage: Eukaryota; Viridiplantae; Streptophyta; Magnoliopsida; Poales; Poaceae
Rfam family: Plant small nucleolar RNA U3
About the family: Small nucleolar RNAs (snoRNAs) are involved in the processing and modification of rRNA in the nucleolus.
Source: Rfam